RNAcentral lists this ribosomal RNA (439 nucleotides) under uncultured bacterium. RNAcentral describes it as "bacterial SSU rRNA". It matches the Rfam family "Bacterial small subunit ribosomal RNA", at positions 355 to 796 of the family's 1533-position model. The record is from RNAcentral.
UGGGGAAUUUUGCGCAAUGGACGAAAGUCUGACGCAGCAACGCCGCGUGGGUGAUGAAGUCCCUUGGGAUGUAAAACCCUGUCAGCUGGGACGAAACGGCCCGCAAGGGUCCUGACUGUACCAGCAGAGGAAGCCCCGGCUAACUCCGUGCCAGCAGCCGCGGUAAUACGGGGGGGGCAAGCGUUGUUCGGAAUUACUGGGCGUAAAGGGCGUGUAGGCGGCCUAGCAAGUCAGCUGUGAAAGCCCCAGGCUCAACCUGGGAAUUGCAUCUGAAACUGCCGGGCUAGAGUUCAGGAGAGGAGGGCGGAACUCCCAGUGUAGCGGUGAAAUGCGUAGAUAUUGGGAGGAACACCGGUGGCGAAGGCGGCUCUCUGGACUGAAACUGACGCUGAGGCGCGAAAGCCAGGGGAGCGAACGGGAUUAGAUACCCCCGUAGUCC